This 479-nucleotide ribosomal RNA is filed under the name uncultured bacterium. Its description in RNAcentral is "partial 16S ribosomal RNA". It matches the Rfam family "Bacterial small subunit ribosomal RNA", at positions 28 to 507 of the family's 1533-position model. The record is from RNAcentral.
GAUGAACGCUAGCGGGAGGCCUAACACAUGCAAGCCGAGCGGUAUUGUUUCUUCGGAAAUGAGAGAGCGGCGUACGGGUGCGUAACACGUGUGCAACCUGCCUUUAUCUGGGGGAUAGCCUUUCGAAAGGAAGAUUAAUACUCCAUAAUAUAUUGAACGGCAUCGUUUAAUAUUGAAAGCUCCGGCGGAUAGAGAUGGGCACGCGCAAGAUUAGCUAGUUGGUGAGGUAACGGCUCACCAAGGCGAUGAUCUUUAGGGGGCCUGAGAGGGUGAUCCCCCACACUGGUACCGAGACACGGACCAGACUCCUACGGGAGGCAGCAGUGAGGAAUAUUGGUCAAUGGGUGCAAGCCUGAACCAGCCAUCCCGCGUGAAGGACGACUGCCCUAUGGGUUGUAAACUUCUUUUGUAUAGGGAUAAACCUACCCUCGUGAGGGUAGCUGAAGGUACUAUACGAAUAAGCACCGGCUAACUCCGUG